UGCCUCUGCUUCAAGUUCAGGGCCAUCCACAGGGGCACGCUCAGCGGAGUGCCCGCCGUGAAGGGACCCACGUCGCCAGUGAUGAGUGGUCAACGUCGGAAAAUUUUCUGUUGACAAAACCACGGAGAAAGUCAACAAAUCUCUCUACCGUGCGGCAACGCUUCCAGCUUAGAGGCAGCGCAACAGAAAAGGUACACAAGAUGCUUGCGACUUGAGCCACUGAACACCUACCAGUUUGAGCCGAAAAGCUGGUCCCCGGCCGCGAGCUGAUAUAUUUUCCUGGACACGGAGAUAUACAUCUCUCAGAAUUUAUGACCAUUCUUUUCUUUUUAUUAUUGCUUUUUCAUGUCCAUACCACUUGAUUAUUAUACAUUUAAACUAUUCUCUUUUUAUUUUCGGCGCUUUUUUUAUAAAUUUUUGUAUUACUUUUUGUGAUGUUAAAGAUUUUAUUCCUAAGUUUAUUUGAUAUUCGUUAUGCAUGAUUGUCUGCCACUCCUGCUGCUUUGCCAACUUGUGGACGGGUCAGGACAUCGUCAAGCUCUUGAACUUUUAGUGCUGUACUCCUUCUAAACAAAAGGAAAUAAAAUAAUUGAUUGAUUGUGUUUCCGAA
Long non-coding RNA from Rhipicephalus microplus (southern cattle tick), 610 nucleotides. RefSeq lists it as uncharacterized. The record is from RefSeq and is a predicted model, not a curated record. Lineage: Eukaryota; Metazoa; Arthropoda; Arachnida; Ixodida; Ixodidae.